Molecule: ribosomal RNA, 440 nt
Filed under: uncultured bacterium
Lineage: Bacteria
Description: partial 16S ribosomal RNA
Rfam family: Bacterial small subunit ribosomal RNA
Source: RNAcentral
CCUACGGGAGGCAGCAGUAGGGAAUAUUGCUCAAUGGGGGGAACCCUGAAGCAGCAACGCCGCGUGGAGGAUGAAGGUUUUAGGAUUGUAAACUCCUUUUGUUAGAGAAGAUAAUGACGGUAUCUAACGAAUAAGCACCGGCUAACUCCGUGCCAGCAGCCGCGGUAAUAAGUAUGGUGCAAGCGUUACUCGGAAUCACUGGGCGUAAAGGGAGCGUAGGCGGGAUAGCAAGUCAGAUGUGAAAUCCUAUGGCUUAACCUUCGAACUGCAUUUGAAACUGUUAUUCUAGAGUGUGGGAGAGGUAGGUGGAAUUCUUGGUGUAGCGGUAAAAUCCGUAGAGAUCAAGAGGAAUACGCAUUGCGAAGGCGACCUGCUAGAACAUAACUGACGCUGAGGCGCGAAAGCGUGGGGAGCAAACAGGAUUAGAUACCACUGUAGUC